This 301-nucleotide ribosomal RNA is filed under the name uncultured bacterium. RNAcentral's name for it is "partial 16S ribosomal RNA". It matches the Rfam family "Bacterial small subunit ribosomal RNA", at positions 509 to 809 of the family's 1533-position model. The record is from RNAcentral.
CAGCCGCCGCGGUAAUACAGAGGGUGCGAGCGUUAAUCGGAUUUACUGGGCGUAAAGCGUGCGUAGGCGGCUAAUUGAGUCGGAUGUGAAAUCCCCGAGCUUAACUUGGGAAUUGCAUUCGAUACUGGUUAGCUAGAGUGUGGGAGAGGAUGGUAGAAUUCCAGGUGUAGCGGUGAAAUGCGUAGAGAUCUGGAGGAAUACCGAUGGCGAAGGCAGCCAUCUGGCCUAACACUGACGCUGAGGUACGAAAGCAUGGGGAGCAAACAGGAUUAGAUACCCCGGUAGUCCUGUCUCUUAUACA